This 490-nucleotide ribosomal RNA is filed under the name uncultured bacterium. RNAcentral describes it as "bacterial SSU rRNA". It matches the Rfam family "Bacterial small subunit ribosomal RNA", at positions 215 to 697 of the family's 1533-position model. The record is from RNAcentral.
UCACUCAAAGAUGAUCCCGCGUUGUAUUAGCUAGUUGGUGAGGUAAAGGCUCACCAAGGCGAUGAUACAUAGCCGACCUGAGAGGGUGAUCGGCCACAUUGGGACUGAGACACGGCCCAAACUCCUACGGGAGGCAUCAGUAGGGAAUCUUCGGCAAUGGACGAAAGUCUGACCGAGCAACGCCGCGUGAGUGAAGAAGGUUUUCGGAUCGUAAAACUCUGUUGGUAGAGAAGAACGUUGGUGAGAGUGGAAAGCUCAUCAAGUGACGGUCACUACCCAGAAAGGGACGGCUAACUACGUGCCAGCAGCCGCGGUAAUACGUAGGUCCCGAGCGUUGUCCGGAUUUAUUGGGCGUAAAUCGAGCGCAGGUGGUUUAUUAAGUCUGGUGUAAAAGGCAGUGGCUCAACCAUUGUAUGCAUUGGANACUGGUAGACUUGAGUGCAGGAGAGGAGAGUGGAAUUCCAUGUGUAGCGGUGAAAUGCGUAGAUAU